Long non-coding RNA from Aquila chrysaetos chrysaetos, 4705 nucleotides. RefSeq lists it as uncharacterized. The record is from RefSeq and is a predicted model, not a curated record. NCBI's taxonomy places the organism in Eukaryota, Metazoa, Chordata, Aves, Accipitriformes, Accipitridae. The transcript has 3 exons.
GACGGCCCGGGUCUGGCCCCGGGGCGGUGAGUGCUGCCGGGGGAGAGAAUAAACCGGUACAGACACCGCGCUUCGGCCGUCGGGUCGGGUCUCGGGCCUGAUGUCCCCAGCGCGUUGGCUGUAGAACCAGCGAGAGACCUCCUGGGACCUCCUGUUCGUCCUGGCGUUCAUGAGCGGGUAGCUUGGGGGUGUCGGAGGGGUACUGAAAAUGCUGACGUUUUUGCUAUAAUUUCCUCAGAUUCCACUAAGCGUUUGCGUCUAGGACCACGGGAUGGAGAUAGGGCUGUGCUGAGAGAGCGUGUUCGUGACACGAAGGUGGGAUGUAUCCUCAGCAGAGAGGACAACUGUGAUGUGCAGAAAGCAUGAGAUCACGUUGAGGCCGAGAGUAACCGGAAUGGGAUGAAAUUCAGUUCUACAGGGUUUGCGGUCAUAUACUUGGGAACCAAUAAGGUCAUCAUUUAUUCAGUGGGAGCUCAUCAUUUGGAAAUGGUAGUGGAGGAGACCUUGGGUAUCAUCAUUGGUUCCACAGAGGCAGUCUGUAAUCUGUACGACGCGUCCAAGAAACAAAAAGAUGUGAUUUUAAGAGGGGAGUUUAAAAUUCAAAGUAUUUUAGGGACAUACAGGUACAUUCACAGCUCAUCUUCGUUAUUGUUUCUGGCCACCCAUGUUCAAGAAGCCAAACUAAAAGAGGGGCAGAGAGAGCGGAUACAGCACAGAAUGGAGACUGUAACAAGGGAUGAGAGGAGCAUUGUUCCCUGAGUCUAGCAAAACAAAUAUGAAAGGACUUAAAACUGCUGUGUCCAGAGGACAGGCAUUUUGCAAUCUGAGAAGGCAAAAAGCUAUGUAAGAUGGAGAACUAUGCAGGCACUAUAGCAGACGGGUAUACACUGAACAUUAACACGUCUGAGCCAGAAACAAAGGAGCAAAGAUACUGCCGUUAGAGGAGUGAGACUGUGGGACAGCCCUGCCAUGGAAGCCACAUGGAUAAAAUCUGUUUGGGUUUGGUUUUUUUUUAAGAGGGAGCUCAGGAGGCUUCUGAAAGGGGUUAUAUGAUGUCUCUGCCUAGGUUACCAGAGGGAUGUAUCUGGGGGAGUGGGUCAUUCUCCAUUUGUGUUUCUGCUGAACCCCAAAACUCUCCUUUGCCAGCUACUAGUAUGAUGCAUAGUAAGUCUUUCUAGUUUGAGAGAUGCACAACUCUCUGCAGACCCCAAUUACUCAAAACAGUUCUUCCAGAAAAUGUCACUUUGCAAUAUAACCUCUCAUAUUUCUUUCAUUCUUCUGUUCUCUGUUUACUCGCAAGAGCGAUGACCUCUCUUUCUUCACACCUGGCUCAGGCAGUCUCCUGGGAAAGAAGCAGCUGUGUGGAUGAGGCAGCUAGUGAACAAUCUCAUCUGCCAUGAAAUGCUGACAAGCCCAAAGACCAAGCAGCAUUGUUCCAGGAGAUACAGGCUGCCCCAGUCAUGAUUCCUUCCUCUUCCUCAUCACACCUACUCGUCAUCUUAUAAUCAUGAAGAGGACAAAUGAUCCUGAUCUAUUUCUACAAAGGCAGAUCCUGUUCUGGCAUCUGAACAGCUGAGUAGGAGCCAUCUUGCAUUAUCUGCCUAGUCAAUGUGGGAAGGCAUCUCCGGGAAGUUACAUGACAUGGGAUAUACAGGUAAGUGACACAUUUUUGGUAUUGUGAUGUUUUUCUGUUCACUGAAAAGCUACUUGGUAUUAAGGAGACAUUUUCAAAAGUUGUAUUGUACUGUAUGAGUGUAUUAAACUUUGUUCUAUGUGUACUUUUCAUAGAUAAAAGAAUACUGAAAGCUAAAUCAACAUUUAAAAGGAGAGAGAGAAAGAAAUGAGAGAAUACUGAAGUAAUGGAAGGAAUAAAACAGAAUGAGGCAAAUGGAAAAAGGCAAGAAAAUGCUAGAGGAGACAGAAAAUUUGGGAAAAAAGGAAGGAGAUGAAGAAAAUCUGUCUUGACAGACAGAGGGGACAGAAAUAGCCCCUUUCAUCAGGCAGCGACAGCAAGCGCUGCAUACAUUCAAAUCUGAUUCCCAUGGCAGGAGCCACCAAAAGCAGGAAGAGAGGCCUGAAUCAGUGAAACCUGAACCUCAGCAAACCAAGGGAGCCUGUAGACAAUGGGACUGAGUGAGGGCAAGCGAACAAUCAGAACCAAAAGGAAGAGAAAACAGUCUUUUAGGCAGCCAGAAAAAUUACAUCAGCAGUCAACAAUGAAGCAAAGGGCAAACCCUCCUGCUUCAAGUCCCACUCCCAUGCCUGCUUUUAACAGAUCCCUUCCUCAAUAUAACGCAGUGUUUCAGUAUAAGAUGGUGGGCUGAUGCUACCACGCGUAUACAGGCAAACCUCUGCCUAAAUCGUCAGUGCUGCAGAACUGGCUGGUCCUAAGAUCCUGGAAAUGUCUAUGACAUGAUCAGGCAAGUGAUGGGCUGAAAGUAACACCUGAAACACAGUCACCCACAACUUUCAUUUUGGGGAAAAUAAACAAAAGCAAAACUAGCAGGUGGUAUAGCAGCUGAGCACAUUUAAUCUUAUAAAAUAUUGAUGUACUUCAUGAUAAUGGAAAGAAUAGCCAUCUGCCACCUAUUGUUCAUAGUCCUAUAAACACUUCAUAUCAAAUCAGACAUUUUGAGUGAUAUCCUUUGUAAUGAUUAGCGUAGGUUUUAAAAGUGACAAGCCUCAGAGGUUGAACAGGCAAUUGUUUGAAUUUAAGACUAAUAGAGAGGCUUGUAUUUGUUCAGAUACCUGCAGGAUCUUCUGAGUCACUCACUCUUGGCAUACAUGCUUGUGCAUAAAUAGUUCGUAUUUUGAGUGACACAGAAAAAAAAACAUUAGCUCAUGUGCCUUAAAAACGAUCUGCAAGCAGAAGUGGAAAUGCCAUAUGCCACAGAAAAUACAUUGAAACCCUACACACCACAGAAGCUAAGCCAAACCUAUAGCAUAAACACAAUUUGAAAAGGAACAGUCCAAAACCAGUUUUAAAAAUUAUUUUAGGACCCACAAACUUCUACUAACUGCUGUCUUUUCAGUUCACAGAAUGUAAAGUCAAAAUCAAGCUCUUCAGGGCCACAGCACUGUCCUUAUGUCAAUUUAUAUGUUUAGCCCAAUGGGCUGCCUUAGGGAUAGGCCACCACAGCAAAGUGCUCCAAAACUUUCAUGGACUUCCAGUCUACAAUUGCCUAUUCAAAGCCUGUGGUUUGAUUUUCAAAGCCAUCGUUAUUCUGAAACCUCGCGCUCUCAGGGAUUACAGCUCUAUCAGUGACUUGUUGAGGCAGUUGACGGCAAAAGACAUAUGUACCAGUAAGCACACAGCCCUGCAGAGCUGAGUGUACUCUGAAGACUUGGGAAGCCCAGGAAGGAAGAAAGAAGCUCAAGAAGGAAUCUUGAGGGGCCAUCAACUUCAUUCCCUUGUCACAUUGCAAGACUCAAAUCUCACAGGGUUGAUUCAGCUAGGAAGCCCAUCGAUAGAGUAAGGGCAGACUGUAAACAGAACUUGAAGAGAGACAAAUUUAUUUCCAUGAGAUGUUGCAGUUAGCUCAUAUAAUUCUGCACACAUGCUUUGUGUUCUGCUUAAUUUUUUAAAAUGCUGUUUUAUUGAAGAGAAUGGGUUUCAUAAGCUUCAUAGCUUAAAAAAAAAAAAGGGCAAAGCACAUUGAGAAAUAAAUGCUGAUGAAAAUCUCAUAAUUUUUGCAAUAUGAAUUCUUGUAUUCCUUUGAAGUCCAGUAGGAAGGAUUGCAACGUUACGGGGAAUAGGAUACUUUAAAAGGGAAUGUUAAUACCCUCUUCUUUUGACUCUGGCUUUGUAAUAUUGCUGCCAAGUAAUGUCAGUGGCCAUGCCGAGUGCUCAGCAUCUUGAUGUGGUAUAUCUUAAGUGCAGGCUUGAUGAGAUGAAGUGUUAGUUUGCAAGGUCUUCACUUCUAUGGCUUCAGUCACAGCUAUAGGUGGCUGCAACAUCUGAACUUAAACACAGACCAUGUCAUCUUUUGAGGUAACCACUGAACGUUCCCUAACACUAACGGGUUUUACCAGUUCAGAAUGUAAUUUCAUGAAAAGUUCUAGACUGUAUCAUAAACGUGAUGCCCAACAGAAAUCCAAAUGUGCCUUACAUCUCUCCAGUCCAAGUUCACACUCAGCGAGCGAACUGCAGCUUUGCUGUUUAGAGAGCAGAUGGACUUGACACAGGCAAGCUUUCUACCACAUAACCCACACUGCUCAUCCUACCUACAUGAGAUGGAGAAUAAAUCAGCAUGCUGGGAAUCGCAUGAAGCCAAGCAGUAUGGGGUCAGCUAGCAGGCUACAUACAGGACUAGUUUUGAGAGCAGUGUAGUUGUAACAGUGGUCAAAGACUGUGGAGAACCAUGCCUACUUCCCUGGGCACGCUCCUGCAAAGACAGCAAAGACACAGGCAAGGUCUCCUCUAUGUUCUUGCAAUGCCACAUAGAUCUUUAGGCAUUAUAAAUAACAAUGAUUGCAUAUACUUUCUCAGACUAAGAACUGUAAUAAGAAACGAAGUGUUGAUAGAAAUGAUAUUGCAGGAUUUGUAUGUGGGAGUAGCAAUAAAACAAGUAUGAUAUCACUGUCAGCCACUUGGAAAGCUGUGAUUUUAGAACUGUUCCACAUCCUAGUUAUAGUAGUACAACAGGAAACAAUGAGCAUAUGGGGAAACAAAAAUGAUGAUAUAUAGUUUGAGAAUGUAUGAAAU